Molecule: long non-coding RNA, 2495 nt
Filed under: Canis lupus familiaris (dog)
Lineage: Eukaryota; Metazoa; Chordata; Mammalia; Carnivora; Canidae
Description: lncRNA (ENSCAFG00000056876.1)
Source: RNAcentral
AAUAUUUAUUGGGUGCCCACUCUGUGCCAAGCAUUGUGCUGGGUGGCAGGGAUAGAACAACAGUCAAGUAAAACAGUUCCCUCUCUCACACUGCAGGCGGAGGGGCGGGGGUGCACAGAGGAAAGACCUGUGAAAGCAAAGGGAGAGGUGGGGAAGAGACAGACUAGGGCAGACAGUAAAGGCAAAGCAGAGAGCCACGCAGCAGAGAAGAGGCAGGCGGAGGCUGGGAGCAAACCAGGCGGGAGGGAGGCCCUGGCGGGGGAGGGCACGGGGAGGCCAGAGACCAGCUACUGGCUCCCAUCCAGGGGCAUCUGCCCACAGCUCAUAUUUUUCUGUCCAGUGACAGCUAAAUGAAGAGAAAGCUAACUUUACAACCGCCCACUUCACACAUAAUGAAUAUGAAUGGGCAUCCCGGAGCCUGUUCCCUGGGAUUAUCUGUGAGCCGAUGGCUUCUCCCACUGACUGGGCCAUCAUAGAGGGCCUGUCCCCUGGCUGGGACACAGGCAGCCCUUCCACCUGCUUCCCAUUAGCCAUCCUCCCCUCCUCCUCCACGCCUUAGGCGUCCCACCCAACACAGCCCCUGAGUCUUUCAGAUGCCCCUGCCCCCGCGCCUCACCCCAGAGGUGAAUUAAAUUUGGAAUCCCACAUUUAAGAGAGUUGCUAGUCUCAAUGUCUCUUUGCUAAGGCCCCUCUCUGCGCCAGUGAGGCCCACCCAGAGAAGCCCUAAAUCUUGGUCCUGGCAGGGGCAUGGACCCCAGCCCCAGAGCAGAGAGCCCUAGCAAGUGGGCCCUUCAGUCUGGUCUCAGUCCAGGCAUGAGGAAAUGCUUCUCAUUAGAGCCGCUCAAUCUUCCUUCCCCACCUCCCCCCAAGCAUUUACACAUCAACCUGAAUUACAGCCCUGAAGUGCAGACCUUCUGCAGCCCCCCCCCCCCCCCCCACAGGAACACAGGCUCGCCAGGAAACGCUAGGAAACGCAUUCCCUGUAUCAGGCAGAGGGAGCACACACCUCACUCCUGCCCCAGCCUCUGCCCCAGGCUCAUCCUACCCAUCUUCCCCAGGGGUAAGGAACACAAAAUGCCUGCUCCCAGAGCCCGAGUUUCCUGAUGCUGGAGCCCCCACCCUUGCCCCUCACCCAUGGCAGGCUCCCACGCCCAGUCUCUUUACCAGGGCACUGAUCGGGGCCAGUGGAGCCCAGGGGGCCCUGCAGACAUGUCUCUGCACCCACGUUAAUGCUUUCACUUGCUCUCGUAGCCAAUCUGUCCACCAACUGACAGCUCACCAAGCAUAGUGAGAGUGUGGUGCUCUGUUCACCUGGAUGCCCAGGGCACCUGGAACACAGCCUGGCCCAGAAGAGGUCUUCAAGGUGUGACGGCAGGGUGGCUAGGUGAGUGGCUGACUUUUGAGAGCCUUCUGUAUUUAGAGCGCUGAGCUCAGGAUGAGGGAUAGGAGGAGGCCUAAGACAUUAUUCUGGCCCUUGAAGGAGGGUCUCUUUUCCAGAGGAUUCAGGAAGUAGAAGCAAAUCCAGUGCAGGCUAGAGUUGGAAGGGCCCUUGGCAGGACUGAGUAGCUAUCAUUUAUGGGCCACGCUGUCCCUCCUCAGCCAGGUAUGUGGGUCUAUUAUCCAUUAUUUUAUUCAGCCCUCCUGACCACCUUGCUGUUUAUUAUUAAUCGGAUUUUUACAGAUAAGCCAACUAAAGCAGAGAGCUUGAUGAGCUCAAGGUCCUUCAGUGAAUAAAUGCAAGAGCCUGCAGCCUGAGGCUGACCCUGCCAAGUUGACAAACGAAUGGCACAGCUACUGCUGCCCUGCGCUGUCAGUGCAUUAGAGGAUAGACAGGAAGCUAGCUUUCCGGGAGAGAAGCCCAAUGGGAAUGGAGGGGCUGCCACACACAAGAGUCCUCUGGGACCCAGGAGAGACAGACGCCCAGGCACAGGCUGAAAAGGAAGGUAGCAGCGACCACCCCCGAACUACCCUGAUGAGGGCACAUUUGGGGCACGUUAGAAGUCAGGCUAAGGCCUAGCUGACAUUUGCCAAGAACCUUCUUGCCAAGGACCAUGCUUGAGCAAAUACAAAGUGCUGACUGAAUGCAGUGGUGUUAAGUGCUGUAGAAUCAAAAUGAUUCCUUAGAGAAAGGUUGGGGGCCAUGGGACGUACACAUUUGCAGCAGUAUUUUGUAUCUACAUAAUAUAUAUUACAUACAUACAUAUAUAUAUAUUAUAUAUAUAGUCCUCAGAGUAGUGGCUGGCACAUAGUAAGCACUAAACAUUUGCUGGCUCCUGUGUGGAAAACUAGCUUUCAAGAAACAUCAGUACGGGGCCUGGUACUUACCUAUCUGGCAUCUAGUUAAGUGGUAACUUUUGGUUAACAAAGGUCAGUUCCCUCAGGUGAUAGAGCCACAAGGUAAGCCAUCCUUAGUGGAUUAAAGGAGCCCAGACCUUGAGCCUGGUUAGCAAUAGUCACCAUUUUAUGUAACUCAAUUGUUUACAAAGGGCUUCAUG